RNAcentral lists this ribosomal RNA (492 nucleotides) under uncultured bacterium. RNAcentral describes it as "partial 16S ribosomal RNA". It matches the Rfam family "Bacterial small subunit ribosomal RNA", at positions 30 to 507 of the family's 1533-position model. The record is from RNAcentral.
AUUGAACGCUGGCGGCAUGCUUUACACAUGCCAGUCGAACGGUAACAGGCCUUCGGGUGCUGACGAGUGGCGAACGGGUGAGUAAUGCAUCGGAACGUACCCAGAGGUGGGGGAUAACGCAGCGAAAGCUGUGCUAAUACCGCAUGUGAUCUGAGGAUGAAAGCGGGGGACCGAGCAGCAAUGUUUGGCCUCGCGCCUUUGGAGCGGCCGAUGUCGGAUUAGCUAGUUGGUGGGGUAAAGGCCUACCAAGGCGACGAUCCGUAGCUGGUCUGAGAGGACGACCAGCCACACUGGGACUGAGACACGGCCCAGACUCCUACGGGAGGCAGCAGUGGGGAAUUUUGGACAAUGGGCGCAAGCCUGAUCCAGCAAUGCCGCGUGCGGGAAGAAGGCCUUCGGGUUGUAAACCGCUUUUGGCAGGAACGAAACGGUGUCUGCUAAUACCGGGCGCUAAUGACGGUACCUGCAGAAUAAGCACCGGCUAACUACGUG